Molecule: ribosomal RNA, 292 nt
Filed under: uncultured bacterium
Lineage: Bacteria
Description: partial 16S ribosomal RNA
Rfam family: Bacterial small subunit ribosomal RNA
Source: RNAcentral
GUGCCAGCAGCCGCGGUAAUACGUAGGGUGCGAGCGUUAAUCGGAAUUACUGGGCGUAAAGUGUGCGCAGGUGGCCGCGCAAGUCGAGUGUGAAAUCCCCGAGCUUAACUUGGGAAUUGCGCUCGAAACUACGUGGCUCGAGUGUGGCAGAGGAAGGUGGAAUUCCACGUGUAGCGGUGAAAUGCGUAGAGAUGUGGAGGAACACCGAUGGCGAAGGCAGCCUUCUGGGCCAACACUGACGCUCAUGCACGAAAGCGUGGGGAGCAAACAGGAUUAGAAACCCCCGUAGUCC